Molecule: long non-coding RNA, 573 nt
Organism: Armigeres subalbatus
Lineage: Eukaryota; Metazoa; Arthropoda; Insecta; Diptera; Culicidae
Exons: 3
Source: RefSeq, a predicted model, not a curated record
AGAUCAAUCAGAAGUUGCAACGUGUGACGUACGGUGUGAAAGGCUCUCGUAUCAAAACGUAUUCUUCGCGGGAAAAAAGUAUAAAGACGACUCUGUGAAGCAGUUUUAGAUCUUCAUCACUGCACAGUUACAGUCGUCACGUGUACUAGCUCGAACCAUCGGAUAGCCAACAAACCGGAGAGAGGGUGAAGCAGACAAUUGCAUGUCCGAGCGUUGAAGACCAGGUUCCCAACGACUCCACCGGGGAAACGCCCAUAAGAACAAAAUAAAGUCGCGAACAUUCCCAUCUCCGUUCAGGCAAGAGCGCAGCUGGCCGUCGAGCGCAAGACGAAGAAGAUUUCACACCAACCAUCUGCCGUACGUUCAUAUUAAGGAAGGCACAAAACUACAAACUAGAAGCAGGCAUUCAACAACCCGCACACACAGACGUAGGCUCAUCAAAACUCAAGUUCACCGGACAGAGAAGGCCCUCGAAAGAGGGCCUUUUGUAUCAAUUGCAGAAAGCUGCUGGGCAGCAACGUAGUCCAACUAUACCAGCAGUAGCCACGCCAACGACACCGGCUCGACGAUCGC